CACGUAGGGGGCGAGCGUUGUCCGGAUUUAUUGGGCGUAAAGAGCUCGUAGGUGGCUCGGUAAGUCGGGUGUGAAAUUUCGAGGCUCAACCUCGAGACGCCACCUGAUACUGCUGUGGCUAGAGUCCGGUAGGGGAGCGUGGAAUUCCUGGUGUAGCGGUGAAAUGCGCAGAUAUCAGGAGGAACACCAGCGGCGAAGGCGGCGCUCUGGGCCGGUACUGACACUGAGGAGCGAAAGCAUGGGGAUCAAACAGG
RNAcentral lists this ribosomal RNA (254 nucleotides) under uncultured bacterium. RNAcentral describes it as "partial 16S ribosomal RNA". It matches the Rfam family "Bacterial small subunit ribosomal RNA", at positions 524 to 776 of the family's 1533-position model. The record is from RNAcentral.